This 953-nucleotide ribosomal RNA is filed under the name uncultured bacterium. RNAcentral's name for it is "bacterial SSU rRNA". It matches the Rfam family "Bacterial small subunit ribosomal RNA", at positions 8 to 957 of the family's 1533-position model. The record is from RNAcentral.
AGAGUUUGAUCCUGGCUCAGGAUGAACGCUAGCGGCAGGCUUAAUACAUGCAAGUCGUGGGGCAGCAUGUCCCGCAGCAAUGCGGGAUGAUGGCGACCGGCAAACGGGUGCGGAACACGUACACAACCUUCCUUUAAGUGGGGAAUAGCCCGGGGAAACCCGGAUUAAUACCCCGUAACAUAAUGAAGUGGCAUCACUUUAUUAUUAUAGCUCCGGCGCUUUAAGAUGGGUGUGCGACUGAUUAGGCAGUUGGCGGGGUAACGGCCCACCAAACCUACGAUCAGUAACUGGUGUGAGAGCACGACCAGUCACACGGGCACUGAGACACGGGCCCGACUCCUACGGGAGGCAGCAGUAAGGAAUAUUGGUCAAUGGACGCAAGUCUGAACCAGCCAUGCCGCGUGGAGGAUGAAGGUCCUCUGGAUUGUAAACUUCUUUUAUCUGGGAAGAAACCCACGAAUUCUUUUGUGGUUGACGGUACCAGAUGAAUAAGCACCGGCUAACUCCGUGCCAGCAGCCGCGGUAAUACGGAGGGUGCAAGCGUUAUCCGGAUUCACUGGGUUUAAAGGGUGCGUAGGUGGGUUGGUAAGUCAGUGGUGAAAUCUCCAGGCUUAACUUGGAAACUGCCAUUGAUACUAUCAAUCUUGAAUACCGUGGAGGUCAGCGGAAUAUGUCAUGUAGCGGUGAAAUGCUUAGAUAUGACAUAGAACACCAAUUGCGAAGGCAGCUGGCUACACGAAUAUUGACACUGAUGCACGAAAGCGUGGGGAUCAAACAGGAUUAGAUACCCUGGUAGUCCACGCCCUAAACGAUGGAUACUCGACAUACGCGAUAUACAGUGUGUGUCUGAGCGAAAGCAUUAAGUAUCCCACCUGGAAGUACGAUCGCAGAUUGAAACUCAAAGGAAUUGGCGGGGGUCCGCACAAGCGGUGAGCAUGUGUUUAAUUCGAUGA